Molecule: unclassified non-coding RNA, 1853 nt
Filed under: Anneissia japonica
Lineage: Eukaryota; Metazoa; Echinodermata; Crinoidea; Comatulida; Comatulidae
Description: uncharacterized LOC117107742, transcript variant X1
Source: RNAcentral
UUAAUGAUAAAAAAUUAGAAAACAUAUUAAGAUCAGAUGAUCUUCUGUCAUCACCUUGUACACACUUGCUCAACGAUCCAUUCAUAAAUACCAACCAACCAUCGCAGCAAAUCAUUAAUUUACAACAGCCGCAGUAUCAACACCAUCAGUACAUAUCUCUCCCAUACCUCUAUCCACAACAACCUCGCGAUAAAUUUCAAGAUCAAUUCUAAAUUCUGAGACUGUUUACAUUCUGUAUACAUUACUGGGAGGCAAUCUCGGAGGCCUUGAGAUUUUUUUAAAAAAACAUCUUUAAUGAAAAGAGGAGGAGUCAUCGUCAAUCUCGCUCAUGAUAAAUCUUUCUAUUCCGAUUUCUUAAUCAUGGCUAUCUCAAUUUACCAAGUCAUGUAAAUCAAUGGAUUGAACAGACUUGCUUGGCAUUUUAAUUUUUGAGGUUGAGUCGUGUCUGGCUUUGGAAUUUUUCACACUUUCACAUACAGGACAUUUCAGUCUCUGCUGGGAAAACAACCCAACUAGCCUCACUUUCAGUCACUGUAUCAAGAAAAAGACUUUUGCUAGUAAAUCUAUGAUAUAAAGUUUUAUGAUUGAAGAGAUAAUAAGUGUGACCAUCAUACUCCUACGCCUGUAACUACUAUACCAAGAUUUGAUUACCAGCAUCUAAAACGAUAUUACAGUACAGAGAGAUAUCUAUGACACACUUACAAGCAGUAGGUAAUUGACACAGAACUGCUGAUAACAAAACUAUAUAAACGCACCAUAAUGACUCAGCAAGCAAUGUGCUUUGACACCUUCAUCAGAAUAUGUCAGUGUCCAAGUUUGCCAAAUUUAAAGGUUCCGGAGCUGCCUGAAUUACCAUCAUUAUCUACAACAAUAACUAAUGUUCUCCCAGAAAUAAAACCUAAUAUAGAAGAAGCAGACACUUAUCAGGAUGAUGAUGGUACAGCAAAUGUGAAAAUAAUAAUAGUAUGCGUCAUAGCAGCUAUUUUUGGGAUCAUCUCUAUGGUUAUCGUAGUUGGGUUAAUUUACACAAAGUGUAUUAAGAAAAGUGACGAUCAUACGAUACCACAACCCAACAACUCACCUAACGAAACAUAGGGAGUGCCGUCAAAGGAUAUUAAAGAAUUUAUUUAAAAAGGUUGAAACUUGGGCUUCGGUAUUCCUAAAUUGUUAAAUUUAUUUAACGAUGAAACUAGAAAGAAAGGGGCCUACAAGAGCAAGAAUUAAUGAUGAUCAUCAUGAGGAAUUGAUUAUCGCAAAGUAGGUCAGAGAUCAGUGCUGGAUGCGAAGGGUAGGAGUGGCUUAAUGAAGUGGUGAGCAGUUGGUGCUACAAACAUAAACAAAAACACCGCCUACCGGUAAACUUACUGUAGGGAGUGGCAGCAAAGGAAGUCAUAACCGCAAGUAAAGUUCAGAGGGAGGAAGACAUGAUAUUUGAACGGACAUGUCAGCCUUAUUUUUCAACAACCUAUUUGAAAGUAACCAAGAUUAUGGAUUUGACGGUACCAACGAUUAUGGACUAAUACAGCGUUUAUUGGGCAAUAUUUAUAAAAAAAAAAACCCCAUUAAUUUACUACUGCGCAUAAAAGAAAUAUUGUACAAUUUUUAAGAAAGGCUCAGUCAGAGGGAGGAAGACAAAAUAUUAGAUAGGAUAUGUCAGAAUUAUUUUUCAACAAUCUACUUCAAUUUAAUUCAGUUUACUACCAUGCAUAAAAGCAAUAUUGUACAAUUUUUAAGCAGAGUGUUUUUAAUAAUUCAUUUUAUUCCAUUUAAUUAUUUUAACAUCAAAAUAAUAAAAAUAAUAAUAAAAAAAUGAAAUCAAGUUUUUUAAAUAAAAAUCACAAUGGCUUAUAAAU